CUCUCGCUGGGUCGCUCGGGUCGGCUUCGGUCGCCGUCGCUCCCGCUCUCCCACCCCCGCCAACUGCUGCUCGGGCCUCGGCCGCUGCCGCGUCAGCCCCUCGCUCGUUUCAGCGUUCCUCCUGCUCGAUGCAGCGUCGGGACGACCCCGCCGCGCGCAAGACCCGGUCCUCGGGUCGCAGCGGCUCCAUGGACCCUUCAGGUGUCCACCCCUCGGUGCGUCAGACGCUGUCUCGACAGCCGCCGCAGCCUCUCCGGUCCCGGGGAGGCGGAGGGGCCAGCCGGGGGAGCGGCAGGGCCAACCCCGCCACGCAGCCGCCGCCGCUGCUGCCGCCCUCGGCCACGGGUCCCGACGCGACAGUGGGUGGUCCGGCGCCGACCCCGCUGCUGCCGCCGUCCGCCACGGCCGCGGGCAAGAUGGAGCCGGAGAACAAGUACCUGCCCGAACUCAUGGCCGAAAAGGACUCGCUCGACCCGUCCUUCACUCACGCGAUGCAGCUGCUGACGGAAGAAAUUGAGAAAAUUCAGAAAGAUUCAAAAAAGGAUGAUGAGGAGAAUUACUUGGAUUUAUUUUCUCAUAAGAACAUGAAGCUGAAAGAACGAGUAUUGAUUCCUGUCAAGCAAUAUCCCAAGUUCAAUUUUGUUGGAAAGAUACUUGGACCACAAGGAAAUACAAUAAAAAGACUGCAAGAAGAGACUGGUGCAAAAAUCUCUGUGUUGGGAAAAGGCUCGAUGAGAGACAAAGCCAAGGAGGAAGAGCUGCGCAAAGGUGGAGACCCCAAAUAUGCUCACUUGAACAUGGAUCUGCAUGUCUUCAUUGAAGUCUUUGGACCUCCAUGUGAGGCUUAUGCUCUCAUGGCACACGCCAUGGAGGAAGUCAAAAAGUUUCUUGUGCCAGAUAUGAUGGAUGAUAUCUGUCAGGAGCAAUUUCUAGAGCUGUCCUACUUGAACGGAGUCCCUGAGCCCUCUCGUGGCCGAGGGAUGCCAGUGAGAGGCCGGGGAGCUGCACCUCCCCCUCCACCUGUUGCAAGAGGCCGUGGAGUUGGACCACCUCGAGGGGCUUUGGUGCGUGGUACCCCAGUGAGAGGAGCCAUCACCAGAGGUGCCACCGUGACUCGGGGCGUGCCACCCCCACCCACUGUGAGGGGCACUCCCACAUCAAGAGCACGGACAGCAGGCAUUCAGAGGAUACCUCUGCCUCCACCUCCUGCCCCUAAAACCUACGAAGAAUAUGGAUAUGAUGACACAUACGCAGAACAGAGCUAUGAAGGCUAUGAAGGGUAUUACAGCCAGAGCCAAGGGGACUCAGAGUAUUAUGACUAUGGACAUGGGGAGGUUCAGGAUUCUUACGAAGCUUACGGCCAAGACGACUGGAAUGGGACCAGGCCAUCUCUGAAGGCCCCUCCGGCUAGGCCAGUGAAGGGCGCAUACAGAGAACAUCCAUAUGGACGUUAUUAAAAACAAACAGGAGGGGAAAAUAGCAGUUAUGAGCAAAGUUGUUACUGAUUUCUUGUAUCUCCCAGGAUUCCUGUUGCUUUACCCACAACAGACAAGUGACUGACAGCUCCUUAAGCCCUGCCAGAAUAGGCUCGGUGAUGAAGACGGAGAGCAGGUACGUUAAGGUGCCUCCAGUCAGGGUAUAGGCUGUGAAUGUCCACCCAGGUGGUGGUCUGGAGGGUGCUCGGUGGACUGAUCUUUUCUGGCAGGCAUUCAUUCAUCCUGAGAACAUCACUAGACUGUGUAUUGGUUUAAAGUCCAUACUAAAUUUACUUUUGUAGUGUCAAUUUAUAUCUGUUGAAUUUCAAUAAUUUAUCCUGUCAGUGUUCAUUAGUUAGACACAAGAAAGUGACUAACAUGAAUAAAAGAGAAUGUAUUGGAAAGAUGAUGUGAAGGCUAGGAAAACUGGCUUGAGAAUUGCAGUGGCAGCAGAAAACUGGGACAGUUUUCAUAAUUGAGAGGCAGGGGAGUGCUUGACUGGGCAUUGUCACUAGCAUAAGCAAACUUCCCUACAUUUGGCUUUUCUCCUUUUAGGUAGUGACCUAGUGGUUAGAUGCUGCUUAGCACAUCUGCCUCUCAUACUACAGUGUCUAGGUUCAAGUCCCACCUGAACUUUUUAGCAGCAUAUACCCCAGAAGACAGAAGGUGAUGCUUCAAGUACUUGGGCUCUGCCAGCCGUGUGGGACUCCAUGUAAUCUGGGCUGUAACCCUAGCUCCUUGUUUUGGCCUAGCCAACCCCAGCUGUUUAAGGGAUUUGGAGAUUGAACCAGAUAUGAGAUAACCUCCUUUUUUCUCUCAUUCUUUCCCCUUUCUCUUUUUUAAAGAAAGAAGAUUGAGAUUUUGGGGGCGUGUAUAAUGUCAGACUGGAUUAACUUGAGUCAUAUGCCCUUCCUUCACCAACAUUCAGUAAGAACUAAUUCCUCAGAAGGAAGUUGGGGUAUUAUUAGGAAAGAGAAGUGGAUGUGAGGUGCUAAAUAAAGAGCUAUGCAGUGAUAGCUUAUUUUGCAGAAGAAACUACAGGCUUAGGUCACUUCUCAGCAUUUUCCCAGCUCAUAGACUCAUAAGAAAGCCCAGAUUCCGUGUUACCAGGCCUUGGGCUCUUGACCCGGGCUCUACUGCCUGCAGCCUGAGGAGGGACAGUUCUCUGACCCUGAGUAGACCUGUUGUAGGGCCAUUAUGCUGUAGUAGAAGUGGGACAUGAAAUGUGACAAAGUAGGUGUAAAAUCUAUAGACUGCAUUGCCCAGUGACCCAAAAAAACUUGUCAUAUCUCGAGAAGGAAGCCAGUGACAGUGUGCACAUCACACUGAUUGGCCACUUCUAAGUGUGUACACGUGGGUAAGGCCAGCCAGUUCAGGGCUGUCGGUACGGGAGCCAGCCAGUAGUGUUCUUUCCAAGAGAACGACCCCAAAGUUUCUGGUUUAUAUUAGGGUCCCUGAACAGCCUAAAUUUUUAGGCUUAGGAUAGUACUAAGGGAGGGGCUUUAACCAGGUCAGCCUUGGAGGUUUGAGUGCAGCUCCUCAGAGCACCCUUUGAGCCUGCCUUCCAGCCAGCACCUCUGUAUGCUGGAGCCUUUCAGAAGAGCCAUGUGUAUGAAGGAUGGCUCUAGGCAUGCAGGAAUUCCUGCAUUUGCUAUAGCCCAUGUGGAUGGCUAGGGAAUUUAGUGGGAAAUUCCUAAAUGCAGAGAAUUUAGUCCAAACUGUUCCCGGGGUCUUUUAAAAAGAAAUGUGUAUGUUGUGUACAUGUAUCUUUAAGGUCUGCCACGUGAUGUGAUAGGAUAUAAUCAGGAAAUAAAAAGGUUAUGGUACUUCUCUCUCAUCUUGACGUAGUUAGCUACCUUUGUUUUUGUGGCAAGAACAGUGAAAAUCGAAUCCCUGAAGUGUGAGCACCACACACAGAAUAGUUGACUAGCUGUAGUCCUCGUAAUGUACCUCACAUCUCCAGACAGCAUGUUUGA
RNA transcript from Ochotona curzoniae (black-lipped pika), 3451 nucleotides. It is a transcript of the gene named KH RNA binding domain containing, signal transduction associated 1, with no coding region annotated. The record is from RefSeq and is a predicted model, not a curated record. Lineage: Eukaryota; Metazoa; Chordata; Mammalia; Lagomorpha; Ochotonidae. The transcript is spliced from 10 exons.